UGUCAGGAUCGGUACCUGUCAGUGACAAUACUUUUCAAAGGGGAAGAGGGCAAGAAUGUGCUUGCACCUACCUUCUCCUCGCAAGCUGAGAAUCACUGAGUCAGGGAACCUAUUACUUCUUUCCAUACAUAAGAUUAUGUAAUCUUAGUGAAUAUUCGAGUGCUUAGUAUAUAUUAGGCCACUGGACUUGCUCUUGUGGAAAAGAAAUUUAAAAAUAUCCUUCUGGAGCUCAGAGGUUAGUUGCAGAGGUAAGGCACAUACUUAUACUGAUAGAUGAGAAAUGAUAUAUGCUACAUGAAGAUUUACAAUAAAGGUUUUUUAUUUCAAGUCAU
Molecule: long non-coding RNA, 332 nt
Filed under: Bos taurus (domestic cattle)
Lineage: Eukaryota; Metazoa; Chordata; Mammalia; Artiodactyla; Bovidae
Description: long non-coding RNA NONBTAT025705
Source: RNAcentral